UACGGAGGGAGCUAGCGUUGUUCGGAAUUACUGGGCGUAAAGCGUGCGCAGGCGGUGAUGUAAGACAGAUGUGAAAUCCCCGGGCUCAACCUGGGAACUGCAUUUGUGACUGCAUCGCUGGAGUACGGCAGAGGGGGAUGGAAUUCCGCGUGUAGCAGUGAAAUGCGUAGAUAUGCGGAGGAACACCGAUGGCGAAGGCAAUCCCCUGGACCUGUACUGACGCUCAUGCACGAAAGCGUGGGGAGCAAACAGG
This 253-nucleotide ribosomal RNA is filed under the name uncultured bacterium. RNAcentral describes it as "partial 16S ribosomal RNA". It matches the Rfam family "Bacterial small subunit ribosomal RNA", at positions 524 to 776 of the family's 1533-position model. The record is from RNAcentral.